AACGAACGCUGGCGGCAGGCCUAACACAUGCAAGUCGAACGCUGUAGCAAUACAGAGUGGCAGACGGGUGAGUAACGCGUGGGAACAUACCCUUCGGUUCGGAACAGCUCAGGGAAACUUGAGCUAAUACCGGAUACGUGCGAGAGCAGAAAGAUUCAUCGCCGAAGGAUUGGCCCGCGUUCGAUUAGCUUGUUGGUGAGGUAACGGCUCACCAAGGCGACGAUCGANAGCUGGUCUGAGAGGAUGAUCAGCCACAUUGGGACUGAGACACGGCCCAAACUCCUACGGGAGGCAGCAGUGGGGAAUAUUGGACAAUGGGCGAAAGCCUGAUCCAGCCAUGCCGCGUGAGUGAUGAAGGCCCUAGGGUUGUAAACCUCUUUCAGCCCUGACGAAGCGAGAGUGACGGUAGGGGCAGAAGAAGCACCGGCCAACUACGUGCCAGCCGCCGCGGUAAG
Molecule: ribosomal RNA, 455 nt
Filed under: uncultured bacterium
Lineage: Bacteria
Description: bacterial SSU rRNA
Rfam family: Bacterial small subunit ribosomal RNA
Source: RNAcentral